GCGAACGCGGCGGUUGUCUGUCGCGCGCACGCGAGACACCAACUGCCUCUCUCUGCAGGCAGCCCACGCUCUCCCAGUAUAGACGCAGCAGCGGAACAACAUGGCGGCCGCGGAGUCUUCUCCUCAGCCAGUCGGUCGCGGGGCUGCCCGACGCCGCGCCUGCUUUUGCCUUUCUUCCUCUUCCGCAGGGGCUGGCCACGGCCACCCUCUGCUCUUGUAAUCCACCACCCUCCCCGCAAGAAGCUCGAAUUAAACCCCGCGCGCGGUCUCCCUACACCCACCGGUGACACGUGAGGAUGUCCAAGCACAAAGCUUGCAAAUUUGAAGGAAACAAAACAAAGAGCAGGUGGGACAAAGAAGGAGAGGCGCUGGGCAAGAAGCAACAGAAAUAUCAUGAGAAAGGUGAAAAUGGAAAAUGUCUGUCGACCCACACGAUUCCUGCUUGGCCACCACCCCCCAUGAUGGAAAUUCGGGCCUCCUGCAGACCCUCCGCAGUUCUUCCAAGGCUUGAAGUCUUUCUUUUACCCUGCUCCUGAAAUUCUUCUUCCGUGAGAUGGCAGAUUUGGAUCUUUUCAGUUCUGAAAAAACUAAUGGCUUUCCUAGGUAGGAAGGAAAAAAGGAAGGAAAACUGAAGAAUAAAGGGAAAGGGAAGAAUACUGGCAUUUUGAACGCUGUGCCAUGGAUUUGAAAUACAAAAAUAUGUUCAAGUAUUGAUAGACAAAGAUACCGAACAUACACUGUAGACUGCAGCUCACAGAAUCCAUGAGCAGAAAAGCUGAAGAACGUGACAGACUGAAAUUAAGCAGUUUAAGACAUCAAACUUGUUUUGGUACAGUUAUAUAAAAUUCUAUGCACACGUACUUGCACAUAUUCCACUGAAUAUCUCAAAAACUUAAUAU
Long non-coding RNA from Pogona vitticeps (central bearded dragon), 899 nucleotides. RefSeq lists it as uncharacterized. The record is from RefSeq and is a predicted model, not a curated record. NCBI's taxonomy places the organism in Eukaryota, Metazoa, Chordata, Lepidosauria, Squamata, Agamidae.